This 241-nucleotide ribosomal RNA is filed under the name uncultured bacterium. RNAcentral describes it as "partial 16S ribosomal RNA". It matches the Rfam family "Bacterial small subunit ribosomal RNA", at positions 111 to 353 of the family's 1533-position model. The record is from RNAcentral.
UAAUGUCGUGGGAACUGCCUGAUGGAGGGGGAUAACUACUGGAAACGGUAGCUAAUACCGCAUAACGUCGCAAGACCAAAGAGGGGGACCUUCGGGCCUCUUGCCAUCGGAUGUGCCCAGAUGGGAUUAGCUUGUUGGUGGGGUAACGGCUCACCAAGGCGACGAUCCCUAGCUGGUCUGAGAGGAUGACCAGCCACACUGGAACUGAGACACGGUCCAGACUCCUACGGGAGGCAGCAUG